GGGGUUGUGGCUCAGUGGCAGAGUGCCCACCUCCCAUGUGUGAGGUGCUGGGUUCAAUCCUCAGAACCACA
RNAcentral lists this transfer RNA (71 nucleotides) under Marmota monax (woodchuck). It matches the Rfam family "tRNA". From Rfam's summary of the family: Transfer RNA (tRNA) molecules are approximately 80 nucleotides in length. The record is from Rfam by way of RNAcentral. Lineage: Eukaryota; Metazoa; Chordata; Mammalia; Rodentia; Sciuridae.